GAGUUUGAUUCUGGCUCAGAACGAACGCUGGCGGCGCGUCUUAAGCAUGCAAGUCGAACGGUAAGGGAGAGCUUGCUCUCCCCUAGAGUGGCGGACCGGUGAGUAACGCGUAGGUGACCUACCCUGAAGAUGGGGAUAGCUAGUAGAAAUAUUAGAUAAUACCGAAUAAGCUCAUUUGCAUAAAGGCAGAUGAGGAAAGGGGCUACGGCUCCGCUUUAGGAUGGGCCUGCGUCCCAUUAGCUAAGUUGGUGAGGUAAAGGCUUACCAAGGCAACGAUGGGUAUCCGGCCUGAGAGGGUGAACGGACACAUUGGGACUGAGAUACGGCCCAAACUCCUACGGGAGGCAGCAGCUAAGAAUCUUCCGCAAUGGACGAAAGUCUGACGGAGCGACGCCGUGUGAAUGAAGAAGGCUGAAAAGUUGUAAAAUUCUUUUGCAGAUGAAGAAUAAGGAUAGGAGGGAAUGCCUAUCUGAUGA
Molecule: ribosomal RNA, 476 nt
Filed under: Treponema sp. canine oral taxon 207
Lineage: Bacteria; Pseudomonadati; Spirochaetota; Spirochaetia; Treponematales; Treponemataceae
Description: bacterial SSU rRNA
Rfam family: Bacterial small subunit ribosomal RNA
Source: RNAcentral